RNAcentral lists this unclassified non-coding RNA (240 nucleotides) under Tremella resupinata. RNAcentral describes it as "partial contains 5.8S ribosomal RNA, internal transcribed spacer 2, and large subunit ribosomal RNA". The record is from RNAcentral. Lineage: Eukaryota; Fungi; Basidiomycota; Tremellomycetes; Tremellales; Tremellaceae.
CGCACCUUGCGCCUUUUGGUAUUCCGAAAGGCAUGCCUGUUUGAGUGUCAUGUAGACUCAACCCCAUGGGUUCUUCCCAUGGACGUUGGAUUUGGGCCCUGCCUGUUUGGCUGGCCUUGAAUGUGUUAGUGGCUUUUCCCACAGACGUUGUAAGCACUCGUCGACCGGAGGCCGCUCAUAACCCCCCCACUCUAUUUUGACUCUGACCUCAAAUCAGGUAGGGCUACCCGCUGAACUUAA